ACGCUAGCUACAGGCUUAACACAUGCAAGUCGAGGGGCAGCAUGGAAGAAGCUUGCUUCUUCUGAUGGCGACCGGCGCACGGGUGCGUAACGCGUAUCAAACCUGCCUCAUACUCGGGGAUAGCCUUGCGAAAGUAAGAUUAAUACCCGAUGUUGUUAUGUUACCGCAUGGUGACAUAACCAAAGAUUUAUCGGUAUGAGAUGGUGAUGCGUCCGAUUAGGUAGUAGGCGGGGUAACGGCCCACCUGGCCUUCGAUCGGUAGGGGUUCUGAGAGGAAGGUCCCCCACACUGGAACUGAGACACGGUCCAGACUCCUACGGGAGGCAGCAGUGAGGAAUAUUGGUCAAUGGACGGAAGUCUGAACCAGCCAAGUAGCGUGCAGGAUGACGGCCCUCCGGGUUGUAAACUGCUUUUAGUUGGGAAUAAAAAGAGGGACGUGUCCCUCAUUGUAUGUACCUUCAGAAAAAGGACCGGCUAAUUCCGUGCCAGCAGCCGCGGUAAUACGGAAGGUCCAGACGUUAUCCGGAUUUAUUGGGUUUAAAGGGAGCGUAGGCGGAUUAUUAAGUCAGUGGUGAAAGACGGUGGCUCAACCAUCGUUAGCCAUUGAAACUGGUAGUCUUGAGUGCAGACAGGGAUGCUGGAACUCGUGGUGUAGCGGUGAAAUGCUUAGAUAUCACGAUGAACUCCGAUCGCGAAGGCAGGUGUCCGGGCUGCAACUGACGCUGAGGCUCGAAAGUGUGGGUAUCAAACAGGAUUAGAUACCCUGGUAGUCCACACAGUAAACGAUGUAUACUCGCGGUUUGCGAUACAGUGUAAGCCGCCAAGCGAAAGCAUUAAGUAUACCACCUGGGGAGUACGCCGGCAACGGUGAAACUCAAAGGAAUUGACGGGGGCCCGCACAAGCGGAGGAACAUGUGGUUU
RNAcentral lists this ribosomal RNA (921 nucleotides) under uncultured bacterium. RNAcentral describes it as "bacterial SSU rRNA". It matches the Rfam family "Bacterial small subunit ribosomal RNA", at positions 33 to 947 of the family's 1533-position model. The record is from RNAcentral.